Molecule: ribosomal RNA, 252 nt
Filed under: uncultured prokaryote
Description: partial 16S rRNA
Rfam family: Bacterial small subunit ribosomal RNA
Source: RNAcentral
ACGUAGGUGGCGAGCGUUAUUCGGAUUCACUGGGCGUAAAGGGUCCGUAGGGGGUCUGCCAAGUCUGGUGUGAAAGCCCGCGGCUCAACUGCGGAACGGCACUGGAUACUGGCGUUCUUUGAGUCUGCGAGGGGUAAGUGGAAUUCCUGGUGUAGCGGUGGAAUGCGUAGAUAUUAGGAGGAACACCGGUGGCGAAGGCGGCUUUCUGGCGUGGUACUGACGCUGAGGGGCGAAAGCGUGGGGAGCAAACGG